RNAcentral lists this transfer RNA (68 nucleotides) under Brachymeles schadenbergi. RNAcentral's name for it is "tRNA-Lys". It matches the Rfam family "tRNA". Rfam says of the family: Transfer RNA (tRNA) molecules are approximately 80 nucleotides in length. Their secondary structure includes four short double-helical elements and three loops (D, anti-codon, and T loops). Lineage: Eukaryota; Metazoa; Chordata; Lepidosauria; Squamata; Scincidae. The record is from RNAcentral.
CAUUAAGAAGCUUCUAUAGCACUAGCCUUUUAAGCUAGAGAGGGGGAAUAAAAGUCUCCCUUAAUGAG